RNAcentral lists this ribosomal RNA (253 nucleotides) under uncultured bacterium. Its description in RNAcentral is "partial 16S ribosomal RNA". It matches the Rfam family "Bacterial small subunit ribosomal RNA", at positions 524 to 776 of the family's 1533-position model. The record is from RNAcentral.
UACAGAGGGGGCGAGCGUUGUUCGGAAUUACUGGGCGUAAAGGGCGCGUAGGCGGCCCGCUAAGUCGAACGUGAAAUCCCCCGGCUUAACCUGGGAACUGCGUCUGAUACUGGGAGGCUAGAGUGCGGGAGAGGGAUGCGGAAUUCCAGGUGUAGCGGUGAAAUGCGUAGAUAUCUGGAGGAACACCGGUGGCGAAGGCGGCAUCCUGGACCGACAUUGACGCUGAGGCGCGAAAGCCAGGGGAGCAAACGGG